ACCAGGUGUGGUGGUGUGCACCUGUAGUCCUAGCUACUCAGGAGGGUGAGGUGGGAGGAUUGCUUGAGCCCAGGAGUUCGAGGCUGCAGUGAGCUAUGAUUGCACCACUGCACUCCAGCCUGGACAACAGAGUGAGACUCCAUCUCAA
Macaca fascicularis (crab-eating macaque) is the source of this 148-nucleotide unclassified non-coding RNA. It matches the Rfam family "Metazoan signal recognition particle RNA". From Rfam's summary of the family: The signal recognition particle (SRP) is a universally conserved ribonucleoprotein. The record is from Ensembl. Lineage: Eukaryota; Metazoa; Chordata; Mammalia; Primates; Cercopithecidae.